CAAAAAGCAAAAGUUACAAAAAGGGUCAUAAUCACUUGAGAUCGUCCAUCAGAAGUGUUAACAUAGAUCUCUAUGCCGAUGAGGAUUUGGGCAACACACCUAUGAACGAAGAAGUGAAGGAGGAGAUUGUAGUUUACCUAUUCCAGUGAAGGGCAAGAUAGAGACUUUAAAUCAAGCAUUAGAUAUCUUUGGGAUGAAUGUGAUUGUGGAAGCAAGUUUUUUGUUAUGACCAAGCAAAAAUAACAUCACAUAUCAAGGAUCGUGAUCUCCGAUCCAGAAAUUUUGCCAACCAGUUAGAAGCGGCUACCUUGGAACAAAUAGUUCUAAUUCCGUAUAAUACUGGGUAAAUAAAUAAGAUUAACACAUUAUUAUGUUUUUCAUUGAGGUUAAAUGUAUACUCACAUUGAAGAUGUUUAUUGUAGUUUUCAUUGGAUGUUGCAUGUCAUCGAUCUUCGAGAGAACUGUGUUUAUGUUUUGGACUCUCUUCGAAGUAAAGUUAACGAAGACAUCCAUGGAGUCAUAAAUGUGACUUAUGAUU
Long non-coding RNA from Cucumis sativus (cucumber), 538 nucleotides. RefSeq lists it as uncharacterized. The record is from RefSeq and is a predicted model, not a curated record. The transcript has 3 exons. NCBI's taxonomy places the organism in Eukaryota, Viridiplantae, Streptophyta, Magnoliopsida, Cucurbitales, Cucurbitaceae.